Molecule: unclassified non-coding RNA, 279 nt
Filed under: uncultured Candida
Lineage: Eukaryota; Fungi; Ascomycota; Saccharomycetes; Saccharomycetales
Description: sequence contains ITS1, 5.8S rRNA gene and ITS2
Rfam family: 5.8S ribosomal RNA (bases 233-279)
Source: RNAcentral
GCAAGGCGUUCGAUCAAAGAACUCAAAUAGACGCGGCUAUUAAGUAGAAAGGCGUAACAAUAGGAUUCGUAGGUGACCUGCGGAGGAUCAUUACUGAUUUGCUUAAUUGCACCACAUGUGUUUUUUAUUGAACAAAUUUCUUUGGUGGCGGGAGCAAUCCUACCGCCAGAGGUUAUAACUAAACCAAACUUUUUAUUUACAGUCAAACUUGAUUUAUUAUUACAAUAGUCAAAACUUUCAACAACGGAUCUCUUGGUUCUCGCAUCGAUGAAGAACACA